Molecule: long non-coding RNA, 1752 nt
Filed under: Equus caballus (horse)
Lineage: Eukaryota; Metazoa; Chordata; Mammalia; Perissodactyla; Equidae
Description: lncRNA (ENSECAG00000047223.1)
Source: RNAcentral
AGGAGUUCAUUUAAGCUUUCUGUGCCUCAAUUUCUUUAUCUGUGUUAGUGCAAUGCCCUCAUGUAACGUAACUGCAAAGCAGACAAAACCAAGUGAGAAAUCCAAAAUACCCAAACUUCAAUCUAAUAUUAUAUUACCAUACGUAAGAGUUAUAUGAAUAUUAAAAAGAUAUGAAGGAUAUAAAAAAGAUGCAGAUUUUCAUUAAGUUCUUACCUAAAAAAGAAGACGUAUAUGAAACUUGAAAGAAGAAAAAAAAAAGGAAGAUGCAAAUCGUGUAACUCCUAAUUGGGAGUUGCUGGCCUUCUGGAAUGGAUGCAGUGUGGAUACGCUGGUAGCAGACUUCACCACGAUUCCCUUGGGUUGUGGAGGCUGUGACAUUAUAGCAACCAUAAUAAGAUUUAGUGCAUCCCAAAAGGGGCAUGGACCAGAAUCCAGGUAGAAUCCUGGCAAAAUCUUGGUCAUCAGUAACCUCAGCUAAUGGGAUGUCAUUGCUUCCCAAGGGACAUGCACCAUCCAACUCCAGGAAAAUUUACGAUUAAGUAGAGAAACAUUUCAAGAAAUCAAAACUAUAUUUUAAUAUUUUUGCAUUGAGGAAUCUGUAAAAAUUUGAUAUUCUAUCUACUCGCAAAGUUUAAGGGAUUCUGGCCUUUAGAGUGACAACUUUCAACUCCAAUUUACAAUGUAUAAUUAUGUAAUUGGUUUAAUACUUGGGACUCUACUUCGUACAGUGUUGGAACAUUUAAGAGAACUUCAUUCUCACCUUAUUAAUUUAAUUUCACAGAUUUCUGAGGAUUAUUUGAGUCCUUGGGAAGGUUUUGUUUGUUGAGGCAGGAAAUUGAAGUACUUAAGAAGGAAAUAAAAUAUAUUACAUCUCUAAAUAUAGAUUGAAAUACUUGAAAGUAUUUAGUGAACUAGGUUUUUAAAUGGGGCAAAAUAGAAUUCAAGUGCCUCUUAAAAUGAUUGCUAAAAUAAGAAUAACAAAGUUUGUAAACUGAUAUAAAUAGAAUAAUGAGAUAUGUAAGCUGAUCUUAGAGACAUGCAAAGAAAUCCUGUCACAUGCUACAACAUGCAUGAACCUUGAAUACAUUAUGUUAAGUGAAAGAAGCAAGUCGCAAGAAAAGACAAAAAUUAUAUGAUUCUACUUAUAUGAGGUAUCUAGAGUAGUCAAAUUCAUAAAAAACAGAAAGUAGAAUGGUGGUUACCAGGGCCUGGGAGCAGGAGAAAAAGGGAGUUGUUUAAUGGGUGCAGAGUUUCAGAUUUGCAAGAUGAGAAAGUCUGGAGAUCUGUUUACAACAACGCGAAUAUACUUAAUAUUGAUGAACUGUAUGCUUAAAAAUGGUUAAGACGGUAAAUUUUAUGCUAUGUGUUUUUCACAAUUUAAAAAAUGGGGGGAAAAAGCCUAUGAAGGAAUUGAGGUUUUUAUUGUACAAUUUUAGUUUAUUGCACAUUAAUGGUUAAAACCUAACUCUUUCCUUCAUGCAAAAGCCACCCUCAAAGACACAAAAAUCUCACACCAACAAUCCAUGUAAUUGGGAUAAUCACGCAACACAAAAUUGCUAUGAGGACUAACGGAGAUAACAUUCAGAGCACAAGACAAGAGAGGCUCUUUUUUUUAGAGGUUCCUACGAACCAAACCAAACCAAACAAAAAUGAGUCUCUUGGAUGAACUCAAGUCACGUGUCCACCCUUGACCCAGUCACCUUGGUCGGUUGGAUUGGCAAGAUGAAAUGUGCUCAGUACCACUUGCAAGUC